CAACGCGGGUUGCUAAGUUACUAGCUUGGGAGGUUGCGCUUGCUGACAGUACAGUGAUGACUUGGUGGUGCAAAGAUGAAAUCUCUGUUCCUGUCAAACAGUUGGAGACGUCUGGCUUUAGCUCCGACCCGCAUUCAAACGGCUCCCAGCAGACGUGUGAUCAGAGACGAUCCGUCUUUAUCUGAGGCUCGACUCAUCGUUCAGCAGACUGAAGGAAAACCCCGAGAGGAGCUGCUCGGAUCCAGGAGGACUCGGCCUCAGCAGAGGCAGGAGAAACGCCCGAGCGGUCCGAAGGAGGCUGCAUCGGCACACUGUGACAACUUCUGCCGGACCCUGAUUCCUUCCUGGACUUGUUCCCCACAUCUUUUGGACUCAGUGAACUCUGCUGCCCUGUCUAACUUCACACAGAAGAUCAUUUUCUUCAGUCUCCAGCAUUUCCCUUGAACUUUUGAUUUUAACUCACUAACCUGUGUUUUUUGUUGUUGUGUUGUGUUGUGUUUUGCUUUGUGUUUUUGGUGGCGC
Long non-coding RNA from Oreochromis niloticus (Nile tilapia), 522 nucleotides. RefSeq lists it as uncharacterized. NCBI's taxonomy places the organism in Eukaryota, Metazoa, Chordata, Actinopteri, Cichliformes, Cichlidae. The transcript has 4 exons. The record is from RefSeq and is a predicted model, not a curated record.